RNAcentral lists this ribosomal RNA (1168 nucleotides) under uncultured euryarchaeote. RNAcentral's name for it is "bacterial SSU rRNA". It matches the Rfam family "Archaeal small subunit ribosomal RNA", at positions 345 to 1332 of the family's 1478-position model. Lineage: Archaea; Methanobacteriati; Methanobacteriota. The record is from RNAcentral.
AACCUUUACAAUGCACGCAAGUGUGAUAAGGGGACCCUAAGUGCUUAGUUUUUACUAGGCUUUUGUCAAGACUAAAAAUCUUGGAGAAUAAGUGGUGGGUAAGACUGGUGCCAGCCGCCGCGGUAACCCCAGCGCCACAAGUGGUGACCACAUUUAUUGGGCCUAAAGCGUCCGUAGCCGGUUUGUUUAAUCUUCUGUGAAAUUGUUGGACUUAAUCUAACAACGUGCAGAAGACACUGGCAGACUUGAGACUGGAAGGAGUCGGAGGUAUUCUUGGGGAAGCGGUAAAAUGCUAUAAUCCUAGGAGGACCACCUGUGGCGAAGGCGUCCGACUAGUACAGUUCUGACGGUGAGGGACGAAAGCUAGGGGAGCAAUCCGGAUUAGAUACAGCUUUUUUGCGUUGCAAAAAACCUGGGAAAAAGUUACCAGUUGAGUGGGAUUUUCAAUCCUACGAACUUCAAUGUUGGUAUUGCUGUAAACUACUGCCAAUAGAGAAGAAAAAUCGCAAUAAAGUUGCUAAUUACCCGAGUAGUCCUAGCUGUAAACGCUGCGAGCUAGGUGUUGCCUAUUCUUCAUGAAUGGGCAGUGUCGUAAUGAAGAUGCUAAGCUCGCCGCCUGGGAAGUAUGGUCGCAAGGCUGAAACUUAAAGGAAUUGGCGGGGGAGCACUACAAGGGGUGCGGCGUGCGGUUUAAUCUAAUUCAACGCAGAGAAUCUCACCAGAAGCGACGGCAGGAUGAAAGACAGUCUAAAGGGCUUUCUUGACGAGCCGAGAGGUAGUGCAUGGCCGCCGUCAGCUCGUGCUGUGAAGUGUCCUGUUAUAUUUUCCGACGGAAAAUAAUCUGAAAAUUCCGGCGGAAUUUACAGAGAGUCAGGCAACGAGCGAGACCUGCACUCACAAUUGCUAACGGGUAAUUUUUAUGACCGAGCACUUUGUGAGGACUGCCUUCGAAAGGAGGAGGAAGGUGCAGGCUACGGUAGGUCUGUAUGCUCCGAAUCUUCUGGGCUACACGCGCGCAACAAUGGUAGGGACAAUGGGAUACAACCCCGUAAGGGGAAGUCAAGCCUCGAAACCCUAUCCUAGUUCAGAUUGAGGAUUGGAACUCAUCCUCAUGACGAUGGAAUCCCUAGGAAUGGGAUCUCACCAAAGCCCAGUGAAAACGUCCCUG